CUUCUUCCCGAGACUAGUAAGGUUUGCUGAUUUCGUUUACCAGAAAUACAUUUUCAUCAAUGUUUUGUUACAGUUUUUUUUUUUUUUUUUUUAAGAUUAGGUGUUUGUGUUCUUCUCACAGUUUUAAAAUAACAAUAUAGAAACUGUUCAUAAGCAAACUGUUAAAAGAGAACAAAACAAAAGUUUGGAACCAAUAUGAAUCUACAUAAAAUCAUGAAUAGACUCGAAUCAUAUUAUAAUGAAAUCAAAAAUUUAUAUCAAAUCAUAAAUCCUCAAUCAACUACUACAACAAACAAAUUGAGAAGCCUUUCUGUUCUUUGAUGGUCGCCGAGAUGAUCCCGCUUGGUCGAUUACACUACACAGGACAUGUUUCUUCUUGUCUGGGUUUCAAUUUCGCAGAUCGUUCUUCAUACGAAGCUGCAGAAAUAAAUACAGAGGAUCAUACAUGAGCUCUCCAUCUUUGCAUCUGUACAUGUUUGCAGUGAGAUAUAAGAGAGAGAGAGAGAGAGAGACUUACGCUCAGUUGGUCGAGAUAAUAGAGGAACGUGUAUUGCUGCUUUCUUCUUCUUUUCUUCAAUAUUACAUGAGAUUUCAUCUGUUAAAAAUGAAAUUCUUUUUGAGUUGAUUCUCUUCUUUCAUUGAACUCAGGUUACUACUAAGGGUAAAGGGGGAGACUGAUACCGUACCAUUGCCUAUAGGUAAACAGUUCCGGAGAGCCUCCUGGAAAAUCACGGACUCUAGUUGGUACGUCAGCGACUCUUUCUUGAAAUGAGAUCUCAAUGACUCUAAAGCACCUUUUAGACAUAAAAAGAAACUGUUACGAUCAUUUAGCUUCUGAAUCUCAGGCCAAGAUAUCGUGAACAAAGCGAAUUACCUGAAGAACAAAUGAAGUUCACAUUUUCGAAUUCGCAUGUACGGAGGACUAAGGGGAUCUCCGAGGCCAAGAGGUAUUGAGGCUUUUUUGGCGUUUUCUUGGUGUCCAACAAUG
Molecule: long non-coding RNA, 988 nt
Filed under: Brassica rapa (field mustard)
Lineage: Eukaryota; Viridiplantae; Streptophyta; Magnoliopsida; Brassicales; Brassicaceae
Description: long non-coding RNA (BRAP_LNC006912)
Source: RNAcentral